AAACCAAACAAAUCAAAGGCUUCGAGUUCGAAAAUAUAUGAU
This 42-nucleotide unclassified non-coding RNA is filed under the name Leishmania tarentolae. RNAcentral's name for it is "guide RNA". The record is from RNAcentral. Lineage: Eukaryota; Euglenozoa; Kinetoplastea; Trypanosomatida; Trypanosomatidae.